RNAcentral lists this ribosomal RNA (253 nucleotides) under uncultured bacterium. RNAcentral's name for it is "partial 16S ribosomal RNA". It matches the Rfam family "Bacterial small subunit ribosomal RNA", at positions 524 to 777 of the family's 1533-position model. The record is from RNAcentral.
UACGGAGGGUGCAAGCGUUGUUCGGAUUUACUGGCGUAAAGCGCGCGCAGGUGGGUGAACAAGUCGGAAGUGAAAUCCCAGGGCUCAACCCUGGGGCUGCUCCCGAAACUGUACGCCUAGGGACUGGUAGAGGCUGGUAGAAUUCCCGGUGUAGCGGUGGAAUGCGUAGAGAUCGGGAAGAAUACCCGUGGCGAAGGCGGCUCUCUGGGACGGUACUGACGCUGAGACGCGAAAGCGUGGGGAGCGAACGAGG